Homo sapiens (human) is the source of this 728-nucleotide long non-coding RNA. Ensembl annotates it as long intergenic non-protein coding RNA 970. The record is from Ensembl. NCBI's taxonomy places the organism in Eukaryota, Metazoa, Chordata, Mammalia, Primates, Hominidae.
AGGUACAGAAGGACUUGGUGUGCUAUUAUGCACAUUUCACAGAUGGCACAGAGUGGGGAAGUCAGUGACCCAAGGUGGCAAGCCAGCUCUUGCUGAUGGUGAGGAGCCUCAUUAUCUUAAGACAACACACAGUGGAGAUGUGCUUUACGUAAUUGGCCUGCCCUGUGAAAACCCCUGGCUGUUUUUUCAGAUAAGGAGACUGAAGCAUCUAGAGUUGGAGUAAUUUCCACAAGAUCACAGAGGCAAGAUUUCACUCUGUCACCCAGACUGGAGUGCAGUGGCACAAACAUAGCUCACUGAAGCCUCAAACUCCUGGGCUCAAGAGAUCCUUCUGCUUCAGCCUCCUGAGUAGCUGGGACUUCAGUCAAGGCCCAGCUCAGAAUAAAUUUCAGAAGCUUUCCCUGUCUCCCUCUGCUCACUGCCCUCUCCAUCCAAGCAGAAAGAACCUGCCUGUCUUCUGUGAUCUGCUGCCAUUGCACACACCCCUGUGACGUUCUCCUAUUGCCUCAUUAGAUGUUUACACCUGUGCCUCCCCCAGAAUCCCAGUCCUCUCUCUCUCACUGACCCCGAAGAUAAGCAUUGGAAAGGGGAGCUUUGGGGAAAUGAAUCUGCCCUGUCAUCUGCGUAUAGAGCUAAUCUUAAAUCCCAACUGCCAAAUGGAUCCUGAGGUGUCAGAAACUCUCCCGAGAUAAGGGGGCUUCUAGCAACCAUCUGCAUUCUGGACCCAG